This 301-nucleotide ribosomal RNA is filed under the name uncultured bacterium. RNAcentral describes it as "partial 16S ribosomal RNA". It matches the Rfam family "Bacterial small subunit ribosomal RNA", at positions 509 to 807 of the family's 1533-position model. The record is from RNAcentral.
CAGUCGCCACGGUAAUACGAAGGGGGCUAGCGUUGCUCGGAAUUACUGGGCGUAAAGGGAGCGUAGGCGGAUCGUUAAGUUGGGGGUGAAAGCCCGGGGCUCAACCUCGGAACUGCCUUCAAUACUGGCGAUCUUGAGUAUGAGAGAGGUGUGUGGAACUCCGAGUGUAGAGGUGAAAUUCGUAGAUAUUCGGAAGAACACCAGUGGCGAAGGCGACACACUGGCUCAUUACUGACGCUGAGGCUCGAAAGCGUGGGGAGCAAACAGGAUUAGAUACCCCUGUAGUCCCUGUCUCUUAUAC